This 468-nucleotide ribosomal RNA is filed under the name uncultured bacterium. RNAcentral's name for it is "partial 16S ribosomal RNA". It matches the Rfam family "Bacterial small subunit ribosomal RNA", at positions 28 to 507 of the family's 1533-position model. The record is from RNAcentral.
GACGAACGCUGGCGGCGUGCUUAACACAUGCAAGUCGAACGGAAAGGCCCUGCUUUUGUGGGGUGCUCGAGUGGCGAACGGGUGAGUAACACGUGAGUAACCUGCCCUUGACUUUGGGAUAACUUCAGGAAACUGGGGCUAAUACCGGAUAGGAGCUCCUGCUGCAUGGUGGGGGUUGGAAAGUUUCGGCGGUUGGGGAUGGACUCGCGGCUUAUCAGCUUGUUGGUGGGGUAGUGGCUUACCAAGGCUUUGACGGGUAGCCGGCCUGAGAGGGUGACCGGCCACAUGGGGACUGAGAUACGGCCCAGAAUCCUACGGGAGGCAGCAGUGGGGAAUAUUGCACAAUGGGCGGAAGCCUGAUGCAGCAACGCCGCGUGCGGGAUGACGGCCUUCGGGUUGUAAACCGAUUUCGCCUGUGACGAAGCGUGAGUGACGGUAAUGGGUAAAGAAGCACCGGCUAACUACGUG